CCUACGGGAGGCAGCAGUAGGGAAUAUUGGACAAUGGGCGCAAGCCUGAUCCAGCCAUCCCGCGUGAAGGAUUAAGGCCCUCUGGGUUGUAAACUUCUUUUCUCUGGGAAUAAAAACCGGUAUUCAUACUGGCUUGAAGGUACCAGAGGAAUAAGCACCGGCUAACUCCGUGCCAGCAGCCGCGGUAAUACGGAGGGUGCAAGCGUUAUCCGGAUUCACUGGGUUUAAAGGGUGCGUAGGUGGCUUUGUAAGUCAGUGGUGAAAUGCCGCAGCUCAACUGCGGAACUGCCAUUGAUACUGCUUAGCUUGAAUCACGUCGAGGUGGAUGGAAUAAUACAUGUAGCGGUGAAAUGCUUAGAUAUGUAUUAGAACACCGAUUGCGAAGGCAGUUCACUAGGCGUGUAUUGACACUGAGGCACGAAAGCGUGGGGAUCAAACAGGAUUAGAUACCCUGGUAGUCCACGCCCUAAACGAUGUAAACUCGACAUUAGCGAUAUACUGUUAGUGUCCAAGCGAAAGCGUUAAGUUUACCACCUGGAAGUACGAACCGCAGUUGAAACUCAAAGGAAUUGNGNGNGNGNGNGCGAGNGACGAGAGGAGNGG
RNAcentral lists this ribosomal RNA (603 nucleotides) under uncultured bacterium. RNAcentral's name for it is "bacterial SSU rRNA". It matches the Rfam family "Bacterial small subunit ribosomal RNA", at positions 338 to 944 of the family's 1533-position model. The record is from RNAcentral.